RNAcentral lists this ribosomal RNA (490 nucleotides) under uncultured bacterium. RNAcentral describes it as "partial 16S ribosomal RNA". It matches the Rfam family "Bacterial small subunit ribosomal RNA", at positions 28 to 507 of the family's 1533-position model. The record is from RNAcentral.
GAUGAACGCUAGCUACAGGCUUAACACAUGCAAGUCGAGGGGCAGCAUGGUCUUAGCUUGCUAAGGCCGAUGGCGACCGGCGCACGGGUGAGUAACACGUAUCCAGCCUGCCGUCUACUCUUGGACAGCCUUCUGAAAGGAAGAUUAAUACAAGAUGGCAUCAUGAGUCCGCAUGUUCACAUGAUUAAAGGUAUUCCGGUAGACGAUGGGGAUGCGUUCCAUUAGAUAGUAGGCGGGGUAACGGCCCACCUAGUCUUCGAUGGAUAGGGGUUCUGAGAGGAAGGUCCCCCACAUUGGAACUGAGACACGGUCCAAACUCCUACGGGAGGCAGCAGUGAGGAAUAUUGGUCAAUGGGCGAGAGCCUGAACCAGCCAAGUAGCGUGAAGGAUGACUGCCCUAUGGGUUGUAAACUUCUUUUAUAAAGGAAUAAAGUCGGGUAUGGAUACCCGUUUGCAUGUACUUUAUGAAUAAGGAUCGGCUAACUCCGUG